This 529-nucleotide ribosomal RNA is filed under the name Papilio machaon (common yellow swallowtail). RNAcentral describes it as "partial 16S ribosomal RNA". The record is from RNAcentral. Lineage: Eukaryota; Metazoa; Arthropoda; Insecta; Lepidoptera; Papilionidae.
UCAUCCSCCYKKUUUUACAAAAACAUGUYUUUUUGGAAAUAAUUUAAAGUYUAAUYUGCCCMCUGAUAAAUAUAUUAAAGGGSUGCAGUAUUUUGACUGUACAAAGGUAGCAUAAUCMUUAGUYUYUUAAUUGGUGACUUGUAUGAAAGAUUGGAUGAAAUAUAAACUGUYUYUAAUUAAUUUAUAAAAUUUAAUUUUUUAGUAAAAAAGSUAAAAUAAUUUUAAAAGACGRGAAGACCCUAUAGAGUUUUAUAAUUUAUUUGAUUWUUAUUAAUAUGUAAAUUUUAAAAUUAAAAUUAAAUAAAUUWUUUUGUUGGGGKGACAGAAAAAUUAAAUUAAMUUUUUUAAAUAAUUAACMUUAAUUUAUGAAUAAAUGAUCCMUUAAUAUUGAUUAAAAGAAAAAAUUACCUUAGGGAUAACAGSGUAAUUUUUUUUUUUAGUUCAAAUAGGAAAAAAAGUUUGCGACCUCGAUGUUGGAUUAAGAUAAAAUUUAAAUGCAAAAGUUAAAAUUUGAUCUCUCGGGCUUCGG